Long non-coding RNA from Gossypium arboreum, 690 nucleotides. RefSeq lists it as uncharacterized. Lineage: Eukaryota; Viridiplantae; Streptophyta; Magnoliopsida; Malvales; Malvaceae. The record is from RefSeq and is a predicted model, not a curated record. The transcript has 2 exons.
UUUUAGUAUUUUGCACGUAUUAUCCAUAAAACUGGUUAAGUCAUAACGCAGAGAAACUCACUACAAUUUUUCGGAAAAAUAAGCAAAUGAUUUAAAAAGUAAAUAAGUUAAUGCCUUUAUCGGCAUUUAAGAAUCAUUUAAAGUUGAAGCCUUCAGCUGACAGAGUGGUCUUCGAGUGAACUACUGACCUCGGUUUUCGGGAGGGAGAUGAAAGGUACGGCUAAAGGAGAAGAGACUGCAAUGAAGACAGAGUUUGUUAGGAUGUAUGGUUAUGCAGAGUUAGGGCAGAGGUUGAAGGAAUUACGGCCGCCGGAGAAGGAGGGUGGGUUUUCAUUGCAGGAGUUGAAUGAAAGGUUGAUAAAGUUAAGGGCAAUCGAAGAUAAGGAAACCGAGGUUUGGAGGAGUGGGGUUCACUCCAUGGAUAUAAGGUAGUGCUUGCACACUUUGAAGACGUCUGAAGACAACAGAAAAAUAAAUCAGAUUUUGAACGUUCAGAACGUGUUUAUCAGAUCAGCAAGAAGUUCAAACUAUCCGCCCAAGGUUGCGAUAGACUUUUGACUUUGUUUGAUCAGAUUUAAGUGGCAUGUAAAUAGACAGUUGGUUAUUUUGUAAACAAGUAUGUUAAAAUUUAAAGGUGGUUACCUUGGACUCUCUUGAUGUAUGUAAAUAAAAUGGACUCGAUUUUUGUUA